GACGAACGCUGGCGGCGUGCUUAACACAUGCAAGUCGAACGGAAAGGCCCUGCUUUUGUGGGGUGCUCGAGUGGCGAACGGGUGAGUAACACGUGAGUAACCUGCCCUUGACUUUGGGAUAACUUCAGGAAACUGGGGCUAAUACCGGAUAGGAGCUCCUGCUGCAUGGUGGGGGUUGGAAAGUUUCGGCGGUUGGGGAUGGACUCGCGGCUUAUCAGCUGGUUGGUGGGGUAGUGGCUUACCAAGGCUUUGACGGGUAGCCGGCCUGAGAGGGGGACCGGCCACACUGGGACUGAGAGACGGCCCAGACUCCUACGGGAGGCAGAAGAGGGGAAUAUUGCACAAUGGGCGGAAGCGUGAGGCAGCAACGCCGCGUGCGGGAUGACGGCCUUCGGGUUGUAAACCGCUUUCGCCUGUGACGAAGCGUGAGUGACGGUAAUGGGUAAAGAAGCACCGGCUAACUACGUG
This 468-nucleotide ribosomal RNA is filed under the name uncultured bacterium. RNAcentral describes it as "partial 16S ribosomal RNA". It matches the Rfam family "Bacterial small subunit ribosomal RNA", at positions 28 to 507 of the family's 1533-position model. The record is from RNAcentral.